AAGUCGAGGGGCAUCAGGAAGAAAGCUUGCUUUCUUUGCUGGCGACCGGCGCACGGGUGAGUAACACGUAUCCAACCUGCCCUUUACUCGGGGAUAGCCUUUCGAAAGAAAGAUUAAUACCCGAUGGCAUAAUUCUUCCGCAUGGUAGAAUUAUUAAAGAAUUUCGGUCAUCGAUGGGGAUGCGCUCCAUUAGCCAGUUGGCGGGGUAACGGCCCACCAAGGCGACGAUGGAUAGGGGUUCUGAGAGGAAGGUCCCCACAUUGGAACUGAGACACGGUCCAAACUCC
RNAcentral lists this ribosomal RNA (287 nucleotides) under uncultured Bacteroides sp. RNAcentral describes it as "partial 16S ribosomal RNA". It matches the Rfam family "Bacterial small subunit ribosomal RNA", at positions 59 to 339 of the family's 1533-position model. Lineage: Bacteria; Pseudomonadati; Bacteroidota; Bacteroidia; Bacteroidales; Bacteroidaceae. The record is from RNAcentral.